This 2866-nucleotide unclassified non-coding RNA is filed under the name Limulus polyphemus (Atlantic horseshoe crab). Its description in RNAcentral is "uncharacterized LOC106464591, transcript variant X2". The record is from RNAcentral. Lineage: Eukaryota; Metazoa; Arthropoda; Merostomata; Xiphosura; Limulidae.
ACCCUGUCUUCGUAUGAGGUGAAGCCUAAACCUGGUGUAAAGGUUAGGGAAAAGUUGUUGUUUUUUAUUUAAGAAAAAAAUGAAAAAUUAAAAAAAGCUUUAUUACGUAAUCAUUAAAAAAUUUAUAUGAUGAGGACUGAAUGUUUAGAAGAAAUGUUUUAGCAUAGACAAACAACGGGAGACAUCCUUUAAUAUUUAUAAUCAGCUUCGAAGUUUUGAUGGAUGCAUCUAGUGUUUCCUCUUUUACAGAUGCUGAUUUUGAUUCCUACUGGGAAGAUGAAUCAAAAAGCAAAAACAGGAAUAGAAUUCGUGUAGGACGUCAAUAUCAAGCUACAGUCCCUCAACUUUUAAAGCCAGGAGAAUCUGAUGGUAGACAGUUAGAAGACUUGGAGACGCUGAAGUGGAAACCUAACAAUGAUCUGAGUGAUCAACAGUUGGAUCAGUUUUUUUCCGUAGCAAGAGCCGUAAGUUUCUUUGCUAGAGCCAUUGACAAAUACCAGCAUUCAGAUAAGGAGUCAGACAAGUGCAUACAGACAGCUUUAAGGGGUUUGACAGAGUAUGUGACAUCUCACCAUCCUUGUCACCAUGAUGCAAACUGUCAGCUUUCUCAGGGAUCUUCUGACCCCCAGCCUUCUGGCUCCAACAGUUCCAAUGAUUGGACUUAUGGUGAAGCUCAACUGUUUGCAAGAGCUCUAGAAGCUUGUGGAAAGAAUUUUGGAGCCAUUAAGAAAGAUUUUUUACCAUGGAAACCUGUGAAGAGUAUUAUAGAAUAUUAUUAUCAAGGAAAAGAGGAGCGACCAAAUUCUUCUCAUAAUAAUUUAGGUGAACCUUCCACCAGUAUGUUUUCUGUAGUAGAGCCAAAAAAAGAAAUAAUAGAUUGUGAUGAUCUAGGAGAUCCUCAUACUUCUCCAGAUAGUGGUAGCAGUGAAGAACCAGAUAAUUCAAUACCAGAAGAACGCAUUGAUGAACCAUCAGAUGAUAAACAAGAUGAUGAAACAGGUUCACAUCCUAACCUUCCUACUACAUCUUUAACUGCUGAAGUGCUAGAGGUGAAACCUAUGAAGGCAAAGCCAGUUACUGCCACCCUAGAUCUUGAAACAUCACCUCUUGGAAGCCUUCAGUUCUAUUUCCAUGGAAAACUGGUUCUGAAACUUAAUGCCCAACAACAUGCUAAUACUAAUGGACAUCAGUGCCAAUGGGUUCCAUCUGUAGACACCCCCAAAGUUCCAUUUCCAUGCAGUGCAGGACAGUGUAAAAAGAAAUAUGUUGAGCUGUAUGAGGACAGCAGAACUGUUGAUGGUGCUGAUCUUCAGGAGGUGGAAGGAGGCUUCAGUAAAAAAGCUAAACUUAAAAAUGAUUUUGCUAUUGUGUGGCCAGAGGAAAGCUUUGGAGCACCUGUUCAUUCACCACAAUCACCAGCACUCAGUGAAUGGAGACACCGUGGUAGAGCCACUCCAUACGAUGGAACCCUGUCUCCUUUUUCUGGUGUAUGUUCAGACCCAAGCGACAGUGAUAUUUCCCCUCUUCAGAGUCCCACCGACAAGUGUAGUACAAAAAAAAUACUGGGACCUAGUGAGCUAUGUUCAGUGAAGGAUGACCUUUGUAUUAAACCAGAACCAGUAUCUCCAUGUUCCCAUCCUACUCACAAUAUUGAGGGGAGGAAGAUUCCCUUUUACAGUUCCUGCCAUAAGCAGGAUCCUCAAAAAUUUAAUACCCUUGAAGAAGUGAAGAGACCUUUUUCUCAGGUUAACUGUACUGAUGUGUCCCAACAGAUUGAGUGUUCAGUGCCUAUUUCAUAUCCGUCUAUGUUGAAAACUGUUUUAGAGGCAACGGAUAAAACCGGGUACAAACAUUUGUUGUCAAGUUCAUACAAGCUCAGCAAUGUAAAGCAAGUAGAAGUGCCACUAGAUUUGUCCAUAAAAUCAUCGCAGCCUUCUGUGAACAAACUGCAUGCAGUAGAGACUAACUGUCAAACUGAUGGAAAGCUAAACAGUUGUAGUCAUAAGCAAAAACAAUUAUCCUCGUCAUGGCCAGAUGAAACUCUGUCACAUCCCCCUGGGCUCAACACACGUCGGUCUUCCAAACAGAUUAAACGUUCUUCUUUUUCUUCACCUGAUGUACGUCCAUCUGUGUCCUCCUUCAAGUCUUUGACCUCUUCUCCUGUGGGUGGUAUCAGUAAACAACACUCGGCAGACAACAAGUGGACUAGCAUCAAUGCCAAGCCAUUAACAUUACCCCCAGUAAUCAGUAGUGCCACAAACACUUUACAUCCUGGAAGUGCUACAUGGACUAGUUUCAGUGCAAAUCCAGACAUCUUGUCUCCAACUCACACAUGGGAAAAGUCUGAUGCAACAGUUGCUUCUUUAACAAGCUACCAAGAACAACAUUCUGGUCUAACUUACCUGUCCAUGCCAAUCUACAAUAUGGCUUAUCCUUAUCCAGCAAAUUGUGUUGAGAAUGUAAAUGGGGUGUCUGCUUCUACAGAGGUAAACUAUUUCAGUCAGAAGAAUUCUCCUAUAAAACUGAAAAACAUGGAGGAUGUCACCAGUUCUCCUUCAUCAAAAGAAAAGGAAAUUCCAGCAUGGGUUACCAAUAGACCAACAGAUUUAACAUCAUACAUUCCCUUGUAUCCACACAUCUAUUCAUACUAUCCAUAUGCUUACAAUUUAUCUCAAGUGUCUUGGAAUGGUGCAGUAACCCCCACAGAAGCAUCGGGUAUGAUGCACCAUUAGACCUGUCAUCUCCUCCCUCUGACAACAUUCCAUGCUCACCCAAACAAAAAGAAACCAUAGUUGGGAGCAGUAGAGCUGUGCAAGUGCCAAAGGAUGAAACAGGUAGUGUUCAAGAAGAAAAAUCCUGCUGAGCC